RNAcentral lists this non-coding RNA (834 nucleotides) under Oreophryne monticola (montane chorus frog). RNAcentral describes it as "partial 12S rRNA". It matches the Rfam family "Bacterial small subunit ribosomal RNA". The record is from RNAcentral. Lineage: Eukaryota; Metazoa; Chordata; Amphibia; Anura; Microhylidae.
UGCAAGUCUCCGCAUACCCGUGAGAACGCCCUUAUUCCUUCCCCAGGGUAAGGAGCUGGUAUCAGGCACAGACAUCUUGCCCAAAACACCUAGCUAUGCCACUCCCACAAGGGUAUUCAGCAGUGAUUAACAUUGUUUAUAAGCGCCAGCUUGAAUCAGUUAAAGUACAUAGAGUUGGCUAACUCGGUGCCAGCCGCCGCGGCUAUACCGCUGAACUCAAGUUGAAUAUAUCUCGGCGUUAAGAGUGAUUAAUGUGACUUAAAGAUUAGAACUAAACCAAAACAAAGUUGUUAUAUACUUGCUCUAAGAAACACAAAAUGAAAAUUAUUCUAACUAAACCACUUGACUCCACGAUAGCUAAGAAACAAACUGGGAUUAGAUACCCCACUAUGCUUAGCCGUAAAAUAUUAACCCACACCAAAACCGCCAGGGAAUUACGAGCCCAAGCUUAAAACCCAAAGGACUUGACGGUGUCCCAUCCCCCUAGAGGAGCCUGUUCUAUAAUCGAUUCUCCCCGAUCUACCUUACCCCCUCUCGUAUAUUCAGUCUGUAUACCUCCGUCGCAAGCUUACCUUGUGAACGCAUCUAGUGAGCCCAAAGAUACUACACCCACACGUCAGGUCAAGGUGCAGCCAACGAGGCGGAAAGAAAUGGGCUACAAUCUCUACUCUAGAACAAACGAAAGACUACAUGCAACACAGUCACUGAAGGCGGAUUUAGCAGUAAAAAGAAAACAGAGAGUUCUUUUUAAUCGGGCCCUGGGACGCGUACACACCGCCCGUCACCCUCUUCAAGACACCUUAACGGUUCCUAACACAAUGUAAACUAAUAGAA